Molecule: long non-coding RNA, 2395 nt
Filed under: Cricetulus griseus (Chinese hamster)
Lineage: Eukaryota; Metazoa; Chordata; Mammalia; Rodentia; Cricetidae
Description: lncRNA (ENSCGRG00015039113.1)
Source: RNAcentral
AUAAGACCCUGCUGAAAUAAAGUAAAAUAAGAAAAACACAGCCGGGCUUUGGUGGCACAUGCCUUUAAUCCCAGCACUCGGAAGGCAGAGGCAGGCAGAUCUCUGUGAGUUCAAGACCAGCCUGGUCUGCAAGUGCUAGUUCCAGGACAGCCUCCAAAGCCUCAGAGAAACCCUGUCUCGAAAAACCAAAAAGAAAAAAAAGAAAAGAAAAAUACACACAAUUUUUUUUUAAACCUCCUCCAACUGGGUCAGGAGUGAUGUCAUAUGCUUGUAAUUGCAGCACUCAAGAAGCAGAGGAGGAUCAGGAAUUGAAGGCCAGCUUCGGCUACAAAUCUUUAGCCUACAGGCCCUGUACAUUUCCAUCAACUCUUCUCAGUGGAAGGAUUGCCUGGAGCAAUGUCAUGUGUCUGGAAAAAUUGUCUUCUCAAUCGUCAAGGAAGUCAAAGAGUCUCUUCUUAAGCCUGUGUGGGAUGACCUGGUUUACUCAGCAUUCUGCCAUCCAUUAGUGUUCUUUCCAUAAGCAAACAGUCCAGGGAGGCCAGGCUAGGGGAGCCUUUCAGAUUAGCUAGGAAAAUGGAGACUUAGAAAGUUAAAGCCUCUGCCAUGUGGCUGAGCUUCUGUUCACCCAAGACUCCAUCUUUAAGUCCUCCAUCAGGCUGCCUACAGAUCCUAUGUUCUUCCCCACAGGAUUCAAAUGUUCCUCUUUAUUCUCUGUCUGGGAAUUUAUCCAUCCUUAUAUAUUUUUUCAACUUGUCCAACUCUUCACAGCAUUCAGAUCCACUGAAUUAGUAAUUUCCCUUUGUGUGUGUGUGUGUGUGUGUGUGUGUGUGUGUGUGUGUGUGUGUGUGAGAGAGAGAGAGAGAGAGAGAGAGAGAGAGAGACAGAGACAGAGACAGAGACAGAGACAGAGACAGACAGAGACAGAGAGGGGAGGAAGGGUGGGAGACAGACAGACAGACAGACAGACAGACAGUGUUUCACUAAGCAGCUCUGGCUGUCCUAGAACACACUAUGCAGACCAGGCUGGCCUCGAACUCACAGAGACAUGCCUGCCUUUACCUCCUGAGUGGUGAUGUUAAAAGCUUAAGGUUGACAGGAGCAGAAGAAGAUUCCCAAGGUCAACCUCUGGCCUCCAUAUACAUAUAUGCACACAUGUGUGCAAACACAUACACAUGUAAAUAACACACACAUGAAUACAAACACCAUGUGGGAACAUUUUACACCUCAAAGACAGAAGAGACACAAUGAUAGACUAAGGAAUAGUACAUUUAGCUUGAUUUAGCUUUAUGAACUUACAAAUCAUUUUGAUAUUUCUUGUCCUAUAGAAAUCUGAGUGAAACACUUUAUCAGGCAUUUGCUCUAGGGCUGGCAUUUGGAAUCACUGCUCUGGGAGUUAUAACAUCAUUUUUACGUGAUAUCUUUGGCCCGGUACCCUUGACUCUGGCUGUGUUCAGAUCUGGAGAAUCUAGCUUCAGAAGACACACAGACAGACCAACAAUAAAGUUUUUUUUAAACAUAUCAGUGGGUGCCAAGACUUCUGAAUCAUUCUUCCUGUAUACACAACUGGAAGCUGUGAACACGAUGUCAUUAGGUAUCUUUGGAGUAGGACUGUAGUUGUAAUGGUUGGGACAACAUACUAAUCCCAAUAAGUCUGGGCUAGGAAUAAUGGAGUCAGCAGAGACAAAUAUCUGAUUGGAUGCUGUGUUAUGACUGCAACCCAGGCAGAAUCUGUCAUCCACAGGUGAGAUUCUCAUUUUUGUAUGUAACCAAACUCCAUUUUAAAAGAACCUUCCCUAUUGUGAACUAUAAGGCAGGUAUGAAUGUCUUUAUAAAGCCCAAACAAGGGAUGGAGGAUGGUAACAAUUUAUUUUGGGGGCCAGGCAUUGUUGGCACAGGCCUUUAAUCCCAGCACUUGGGAGGCAGAGGCAGGCGGAUCUCUGUGAGUUCGAGACCAGCCUGAUCUACAAGAGCUAGUUCCAGAACAGCCUCCAAACCCACAGAGAAACCCUGUCUCAGAAAAAAAAAAAUUUUGCGCCCCUACUAUGUGUGAGACACAAGCAGGCAAAACUAAUGCCAUUUGUGAUUACCCUGAAUGGUAAAGUAGUUAGCCUUCUGGCACAAGUGAGGAAAUUAAGGCAGAUACAAAACCUGAACAAGGUCACAAAACUAGAGGUUGGUAGAACUGAAGACUAUUUGACUCCGACACAAUGCACACUACAUAAUAUUAUAGGGUAAAAAAAGAACCAAGAUGUACAGCCCCAGCAUUUUUCAGUGUGGUGAAAUACAGACAAUUGGAACUAAAAAUACUCACAGUAUAAAACUAGAGGAGAACUUUUGAACUUGAUAAAUAAAGAUCAUCACUGUAAAUUUAAAACCUACAUUGAGUUGGGUGUGG